Molecule: long non-coding RNA, 527 nt
Filed under: Rattus norvegicus (Norway rat)
Lineage: Eukaryota; Metazoa; Chordata; Mammalia; Rodentia; Muridae
Description: long non-coding RNA NONRATT017953
Source: RNAcentral
GGAGCUCAGUAAGGCUUCCCAUGAAUGACCCCAUGCCUAGAAGUUUAUGGAAGCAGAAAUUGUACACAGCGGAUUAUUAAAAACAAGACACAAAGUUGGGGAGAGAAGAAAGGAGGAGGUGGACCUUGGAGGAGUCAGGGAAAAGAGUUAAGAGUGAAUAUGGUCAGAAUACACUGUAUAAGAUUUAUUGAUUUAUUAUGUACACAGUGUUCGGCCUGCAUGUUUGCCUGCAGGCAGAAGAGAGCACCAGACUACAUUACAGAUGGUUGUGAGUCACCAUGUGGUGGCCGGGAAUGGAACUCAGGACCCCUUGAAGAACUUGACAGUGCUCUUAACCUCUGGGGCACCUCUCCAGACCCCCUAAAUAUAUUUUUAAUUGUUUUCAUCUUUUUGAGGAGUUUCUCUGUGUAGCCCUGGCUAUCAUGGAAUUUGCUUUGUAGAUCAGGCUGGCCUCGAACUCAGAGAUCCAAUCACAUCUGCUUCCCAAAAUCUGGGAUCAAAGGUGCGUGCCACCAAGUCUGGCAAAA